Molecule: ribosomal RNA, 265 nt
Filed under: uncultured bacterium
Lineage: Bacteria
Description: partial 16S ribosomal RNA
Rfam family: Bacterial small subunit ribosomal RNA
Source: RNAcentral
GCAAGUCGAACGAGAGACCUUUGGAGCUUGCUUUGAAGGUUUUCUAGUGGCGAACGGGUGAGUAUCACGUGAGCAACCUGCCCAGAAGAGGGGGAUAGCCCGAGGAAACUCGGAUUAAUACCGCGUGUGAUCCCGCAGGACAUCCUGCGGUGAUGAAAGGUGGCCUUUGUGCUGCCGCUUCUGGAUGGGCUCGCGGCCUAUCAGCUUGUUGGUGAGGUAACGGCUUACCAAGGCGACGACGGGUAGCUGGUCUGAGAGGACGACC